This 1050-nucleotide ribosomal RNA is filed under the name Staphylococcus aureus. RNAcentral describes it as "bacterial SSU rRNA". It matches the Rfam family "Bacterial small subunit ribosomal RNA", at positions 84 to 1115 of the family's 1533-position model. Lineage: Bacteria; Bacillati; Bacillota; Bacilli; Caryophanales; Staphylococcaceae. The record is from RNAcentral.
CUCUGAUGUUAGCGGCGGACGGGUGAGUAACACGUGGAUAACCUACCUAUAAGACUGGGAUAACUUCGGGAAACCGGAGCUAAUACCGGAUAAUAUUUUGAACCGCAUGGUUCAAAAGUGAAAGACGGUCUUGCUGUCACUUAUAGAUGGAUCCGCGCUGCAUUAGCUAGUUGGUAAGGUAACGGCUUACCAAGGCAACGAUGCAUAGCCGACCUGAGAGGGUGAUCGGCCACACUGGAACUGAGACACGGUCCAGACUCCUACGGGAGGCAGCAGUAGGGAAUCUUCCGCAAUGGGCGAAAGCCUGACGGAGCAACGCCGCGUGAGUGAUGAAGGUCUUCGGAUCGUAAAACUCUGUUAUUAGGGAAGAACAUAUGUGUAAGUAACUGUGCACAUCUUGACGGUACCUAAUCAGAAAGCCACGGCUAACUACGUGCCAGCAGCCGCGGUAAUACGUAGGUGGCAAGCGUUAUCCGGAAUUAUUGGGCGUAAAGCGCGCGUAGGCGGUUUUUUAAGUCUGAUGUGAAAGCCCACGGCUCAACCGUGGAGGGUCAUUGGAAACUGGAAAACUUGAGUGCAGAAGAGGAAAGUGGAAUUCCAUGUGUAGCGGUGAAAUGCGCAGAGAUAUGGAGGAACACCAGUGGCGAAGGCGACUUUCUGGUCUGUAACUGACGCUGAUGUGCGAAAGCGUGGGGAUCAAACAGGAUUAGAUACCCUGGUAGUCCACGCCGUAAACGAUGAGUGCUAAGUGUUAGGGGGUUUCCGCCCCUUAGUGCUGCAGCUAACGCAUUAAGCACUCCGCCUGGGGAGUACGACCGCAAGGUUGAUACUCAGAGGAAUUGACGGGGACCCGCACAAGCGGUGGAGCAUGUGGUUUAAUUCGAAGCAACGCGUAGAAACCUUACCACAUCUUGACAUCCUUUGACAACUCUAGAGAUAGAGCCUUCCCCUUCGGGGGACAAAGUGACAGGUGGUGCAUGGUUGUCGUCAGCUCGAGUCGGGAGAUGUUGGGGUUAAGUCCCGCAACUAAGCGCAACCCUUAAGCUUAAA